AUGUUACUAUGCAAUACUUGGUUGCAAGUGUCGAGGGAUCCAUCCGUUGGAGGUGAUCAAAGUAGAGAUGCUUAUUGGCUUCGGAUGAAGGAACACUUUGGUUUUCGCAACGUGAGUAGAAUUGACCGCUCCGGCCGAUCACUUAGGUCCCGGUGGUCGACAAUCAACUCGGAUUGUCAAAGGUGGGCGGCUUAUCAAAAGGCGGUUGACAAGUUGAACCCAAGUGGCACAAAUGAGGAUGAUAGAGUAAGUGAAGAGGAGAGGAAAACCAAGAAGGGGAAGAUCAAGAAAGGAAGGAUAUUUACUUUGCCUCAUUGCUAUGAAGUGUUGAAGGAUGAUGAGAAAUGGAAGAAGCGUGAAGAUUUGGAUGAUUUGCAUUUGAGCAACAAACGAAAGCGAAUAAUUAAGUUGGAUGAUGAUGAUGAUGAGGAGGAGGAUGAUGCAUCAAGUGAUGACGGCAAGAGAAGCCCCACACCCAACUCGGUUUCAUACUGGAAGCCAAAGCGACCGGAUGGGUGCAAGAAAGACAAAACCGGAAAGAAGAAGAGGAAAGGAGAUGAUGAGCUCAAAAAUGCUAUGGAAGCAAUUGUGAAGGCAAGAAAAGAAGCCAACGAGGUGAGGAAAAUGGCAAGGAACCAAGAUGCUGCGGCCGAGGAGAGGAGUGGAGGAGAGGAAGGUGAGCAAUGA
RNAcentral lists this ribosomal RNA (687 nucleotides) under Triticum aestivum (bread wheat). RNAcentral describes it as "partial small subunit ribosomal RNA". Lineage: Eukaryota; Viridiplantae; Streptophyta; Magnoliopsida; Poales; Poaceae. The record is from RNAcentral.